This 2335-nucleotide ribosomal RNA is filed under the name Salmonella enterica subsp. enterica serovar Typhimurium. RNAcentral's name for it is "partial 23S ribosomal RNA". It matches the Rfam family "Bacterial large subunit ribosomal RNA", at positions 702 to 2925 of the family's 2925-position model. Lineage: Bacteria; Pseudomonadati; Pseudomonadota; Gammaproteobacteria; Enterobacterales; Enterobacteriaceae. The record is from RNAcentral.
GCAGGGUAUAGACCCGAAACCCGGUGAUCUAGCCAUGGGCAGGUUGAAGGUUGGGUAACACUAACUGGAGGACCGAACCGACUAAUGUUGAAAAAUUAGCGGAUGACCUGUGGCUGGGGGUGAAAGGCCAAUCAAACCGGGAGAUAGCUGGUUCUCCCCGAAAGCUAUUUAGGUAGCGCCUCGUGAAUUCAUCUCCGGGGGUAGAGCACUGUUUCGGCUAGGGGGCCAUCCCGGCUUACCAACCCGAUGCAAACUGCGAAUACCGGAGAAUGUUAUCACGGGAGACACACGGCGGGUGCUAACGUCCGUCGUGAAGAGGGAAACAACCCAGACCGCCAGCUAAGGUCCCAAAGUCAUGGUUAAGUGGGAAACGAUGUGGGAAGGCCCAGACAGCCAGGAUGUUGGCUUAGAAGCAGCCAUCAUUUAAAGAAAGCGUAAUAGCUCACUGGUCGAGUCGGCCUGCGCGGAAGAUGUAACGGGGCUAAACCAUGCACCGAAGCUGCGGCAGCGAACGUAUCACCCAAGACAACUUUACGGAGUUGACGAUUGACGGAGCGAAGCGACGUCAAAGCGUUCAUUAAAGUCGAGUUGGCUUAGGGAUACGUUCGUUGGGUAGGGGAGCGUUCUGUAAGCCUGUGAAGGUGUGUCGUGAGGCAUGCUGGAGGUAUCAGAAGUGCGAAUGCUGACAUAAGUAACGAUAAAGCGGGUGAAAAGCCCGCUCGCCGGAAGACCAAGGGUUCCUGUCCAACGUUAAUCGGGGCAGGGUGAGUCGACCCCUAAGGCGAGGCCGAAAGGCGUAGUCGAUGGGAAACGGGUUAAUAUUCCCGUACUUGGUGUUACUGCGAAGGGGGGACGGAGAAGGCUAUGUUGGCCGGGCGACGGUUGUCCCGGUUUAAGCGUGUAGGUGUGUGUUCCAGGUAAAUCCGGUUCACUUUAACACUGAGGCGUGACGACGAGGCACUACGGUGCUGAAGCAACAAAUGCCCUGCUUCCAGGAAAAGCCUCUAAGCAUCAGGUAACAUCAAAUCGUACCCCAAACCGACACAGGUGGUCAGGUAGAGAAUACCAAGGCGCUUGAGAGAACUCGGGUGAAGGAACUAGGCAAAAUGGUGCCGUAACUUCGGGAGAAGGCACGCUGACACGUAGGUGAAGUGAUUUACUCAUGGAGCUGAAGUCAGUCGAAGAUACCAGCUGGCUGCAACUGUUUAUUAAAAACACAGCACUGUGCAAACACGAAAGUGGACGUAUACGGUGUGACGCCUGCCCGGUGCCGGAAGGUUAAUUGAUGGGGUCAGCGCAAGCGAAGCUCCUGAUCGAAGCCCCGGUAAACGGCGGCCGUAACUAUAACGGUCCUAAGGUAGCGAAAUUCCUUGUCGGGUAAGUUCCGACCUGCACGAAUGGCGUAAUGAUGGCCAGGCUGUCUCCACCCGAGACUCAGUGAAAUUGAACUCGCUGUGAAGAUGCAGUGUACCCGCGGCAAGACGGAAAGACCCCGUGAACCUUUACUAUAGCUUGACACUGAACAUUGAGCCUUGAUGUGUAGGAUAGGUGGGAGGCUUUGAAGUGUGGACGCCAGUCUGCAUGGAGCCGACCUUGAAAUACCACCCUUUAAUGUUUGAUGUUCUAACGUGGACCCGUAAUCCGGGUUGCGGACAGUGUCUGGUGGGUAGUUUGACUGGGGCGGUCUCCUCCUAAAGAGUAACGGAGGAGCACGAAGGUUGGCUAAUCCUGGUCGGACAUCAGGAGGUUAGUGCAAUGGCAUAAGCCAGCUUGACUGCGAGCGUGACGGCGCGAGCAGGUGCGAAAGCAGGUCAUAGUGAUCCGGUGGUUCUGAAUGGAAGGGCCAUCGCUCAACGGAUAAAAGGUACUCCGGGGAUAACAGGCUGAUACCGCCCAAGAGUUCAUAUCGACGGCGGUGUUUGGCACCUCGAUGUCGGCUCAUCACAUCCUGGGGCUGAAGUAGGUCCCAAGGGUAUGGCUGUUCGCCAUUUAAAGUGGUACGCGAGCUGGGUUUAGAACGUCGUGAGACAGUUCGGUCCCUAUCUGCCGUGGGCGCUGGAGAACUGAGGGGGGCUGCUCCUAGUACGAGAGGACCGGAGUGGACGCAUCACUGGUGUUCGGGUUGUCAUGCCAAUGGCACUGCCCGGUAGCUAAAUGCGGAAGAGAUAAGUGCUGAAAGCAUCUAAGCACGAAACUUGCCCCGAGAUGAGUUCUCCCUGAGACUUAGAGUCUCCUGAAGGAACGUUGAAGACGACGACGUUGAUAGGCCGGGUGUGUAAGCGCAGCGAUGCGUUGAGCUAACCGGUACUAAUGAACCGUGAGGCUUAACCUUACA